UUUGGUGGUAAUGGCGGAGAGGUCACACCUGUUCCCAUGCCGAACACAGAAGUUAAGCUCUCCAGCGCCGAUGGUAGUUGGGGCAUUGCCCCUGCGAGAGUAGGACACCGCCAAGC
This 116-nucleotide ribosomal RNA is filed under the name Terrihalobacillus insolitus. The record is from RNAcentral. Lineage: Bacteria; Bacillati; Bacillota; Bacilli; Caryophanales; Bacillaceae.